GUCCACGCCCUAAACGUUGAUUACUCGCUGUUGGCGAUACACUGUCAGCGGCUAAGCGAAAGCGUUAAGUAAUCCACCUGGGAAGUACGUCCGCAAGGAUGAAACUCAAAGGAAUUGACGGGGGCCCGCACAAGCGGAGGAGCAUGUGGUUUAAUUCGAUGAUACGCGAGGAACCUUACCUGGGCUUAAAUGUCAUUUGACCGGUGCCGAAAGGUGCCUUCCCUUCGGGGCAAGUGGCAAGGUGCUGCAUGGCUGUCGU
This 259-nucleotide ribosomal RNA is filed under the name uncultured bacterium. Its description in RNAcentral is "partial 16S ribosomal RNA". It matches the Rfam family "Bacterial small subunit ribosomal RNA", at positions 793 to 1055 of the family's 1533-position model. The record is from RNAcentral.